GGAAGGGUAGCUCAGUGGCAGAGCACCACCUUCGGGUGGAAGCCUCACGGCUUCGCGUGGUUCAAAUCCCGCCCCUUCCG
RNAcentral lists this transfer RNA (80 nucleotides) under Natronoarchaeum philippinense. RNAcentral's name for it is "halophilic archaeon 294-194-5 tRNA". It matches the Rfam family "tRNA". From Rfam's summary of the family: Transfer RNA (tRNA) molecules are approximately 80 nucleotides in length. Their secondary structure includes four short double-helical elements and three loops (D, anti-codon, and T loops). Further hydrogen bonds mediate the characteristic L-shaped molecular structure. tRNAs have two regions of fundamental functional importance: the anti-codon, which is responsible for specific mRNA codon recognition, and the 3' end, to which the tRNAs corresponding amino acid is attached (by aminoacyl-tRNA synthetases). tRNAs cope with the degeneracy of the genetic code in two manners: having more than one tRNA (with a specific anti-codon) for a particular amino acid; and 'wobble' base-pairing, i.e. permitting non-standard base-pairing at the 3rd anti-codon position. Lineage: Archaea; Methanobacteriati; Methanobacteriota; Halobacteria; Halobacteriales; Natronoarchaeaceae. The record is from Rfam by way of RNAcentral. RNAcentral also lists the same sequence under 1 other name.